GGAGGUGAGGUCGAUCUGCCUGCAACAUCUGUGAUGACACUGAUCGCCAGGUUCGAUUUGAAUUAUCUGGGUCGCCAGGCGGGUGUCCCCUGCACCCCCACCGUUCCACGUGUGUCUUUCCCAAAGCCUAGAGCUCUGUCAAAGAGGACGACCACCCCUGAGAGAGGAGGACCCUUUCCUCAGUCAGGGGGAUAGGAGUGGCUGCUCUCCCCUGCUAGAACCCCCAAACAAACUCUCAAGAAAAGUAUGGCAAAUUACUUGGGGUGACGUUGUUGACAUUUCAGACCAGAACUGAUUCCCCUUUCCAUCUAGAUUUAAUUCAUAUUUCUUGUAUAG
Molecule: small nuclear RNA, 336 nt
Filed under: Chinchilla lanigera (long-tailed chinchilla)
Lineage: Eukaryota; Metazoa; Chordata; Mammalia; Rodentia; Chinchillidae
Description: 7SK RNA (ENSCLAG00000021828.1)
Rfam family: 7SK RNA (bases 1-294)
About the family: 7SK was discovered as an abundant small nuclear RNA in the mid-70s but a possible function has only recently been suggested.
Source: Rfam by way of RNAcentral